RNAcentral lists this long non-coding RNA (1778 nucleotides) under Olea europaea subsp. europaea. Lineage: Eukaryota; Viridiplantae; Streptophyta; Magnoliopsida; Lamiales; Oleaceae. The record is from RNAcentral.
AUUUAUCUAAAAUCUUAAGAAAAAUCCGAUAUAGUGUGAACAGCAUGAGAAAUUCCCACCAACCAAGAAGCUAAUUGAACAUCAAAGUUCGAAGCUUCGUUUGUAACUUCCUUAGCAAUGAAGUCGGGACUGGCUAGUUUGGUAAUAUUCACGGUCUUCAUUCAGCUCGUGUCUAUCGGUUUUCAAGCCAGCACUCGUCUACCAUUUCUGAUAAAUACUCAAACUCUGGAACCAUAUCAAUACGUCACCGUAACAGGUUAAAAUGCUCUUGCCAUCCCAUUUUCAUCGAUUCGAUUUCUGUUUUAUUUCUUGGAAUCUUGGUAUCAAAUGACAUGCAAGAAUAAGCAGAUGAUGGACUCACUUUGUGCAUUGAAAAUGUUUAUUUUUGCAUCUCAAUCAUAGGAUGUAACAAUAACUGUGAUAUAGCUUGCUGUUAUUGUGAUAUAAGAAAACAGCCUCCGCUUUGUGUCCAGUGCUGCAGAGAAGGCCUUUGAUUCCUAGGUAUGUGUCAUUUCUCCAUACAUUUUUUUUCCUCUGUUUACCAACACCUAAGUUACACGAAACCGAAACGAAAACGAGAAACGAAAUGCCACAUGAUACUUAAAAAUGUUAGAUUUUAUAAAAGUAAGACACAAAAUAUUGUGAAAACGUUGUACAAGAAAUAUUAAUUAAUUUUAUAACUUAAUAGCUAAUUAAAAAAGGUUAUUUAAAAUAAUUCAAACUCUAAUCACUUUUAAAUUUCUUGUAGUAUGAGAAUUAAAGCUAAAUAUUAUGUAAUACAUUUUUGUUCAAACCUGAAGACAAAAAGUUCAUGAUAAUAUGCAAUUCUUAAUCCAAGUUAUAAAAUAUUUUGAUCGAAAGUUUCCUCAAGUUUAUCGAAUAAUAUUGAAAUUUAACAAGUAUUAGCCUAUGCUUGGAAAGUGUUUAUAAACAUUUUAAAUUAUUAAUAUUUUUUAACUAAUUAAUUUUUAUCCACGCAUUUUUAGGAUCUACAAGUACCAUGCAUUUCUCAACCUGUCAUUUGAAGUGUCUUCCAAACAUACUCUCAGAAAAUUAUUUUAGGGUUUCUAUAUUAUUUUCUAAGAGUUUUGAUUUUCGAAAUGUACUCAAGAAAAUGUUAGCACUUUAGAAGUUUCCAGGCAUCCUUGCCCAAUAUGGAGAUGAGAGUAGUACAGUCUAGAAAAGAUCCUUUCAAGAGAUUAAGCGUUCCUUUCACCAUUUCUUCCAAAUAAAAUCGAGCAUGUAUCUUACACAGACGAGUAUGUAAAUCUAGAAGAAUUAACUUGUAUCUUUGAAUGGACUGUCACUAUUUAUGCAGGGUGAUCUGCCAAAGAAGGAAAAAAAGAAAAAAGAAAAAAGAAAUGCAGUUCGAGAAGAAAGCAAUCAUGGAUCAAACGUGGGAAACAUAUUCUUUCUUUCGAAGUUUUACUCUCUAAGACAAACUUAAUUUAGACCAAUAAAAAUCAGGCUUGUAAUUAUUUUUAUUUUUAUUUUAAAAUUUUCUUGUGUCUAUUCCAGCAUCAAAGAAUAACCAUGUUCUGAUUAAACUACUAGUCUUAAAACAAGUGAAUUGAGAUUUUGUAUGUCCAUCCUUCGUGUUUUAUGGAUAGUUUUGUUUGUCGGGUCCUAAUUGAUUAUCGAACAAACAAUGCACAACCCUAUCAUAGUGAAAGUUAAUCGUGACUUUUGAAGAAUUGAGAAAUCGGAAAGAAAAAAAUAUACAUGACGUAGAACUUGUUCUUGAAAAACUAGAGAGUAUAGAGAAAUUGGAAGAGGAG